CAGAGUCUUCAGGAUGCAGUCUGGACUCUCCAGAAAACCACUCAGAUGUUUCACUCCUGAAUCCUGCAGCUUGUUCCAGCUCAGGUCCAGAUGUUCCAGAUGGGAGGGGUUGGACUUCAGAGCUGAGACCAGAGAAUCACAGCUGAUC
Acanthochromis polyacanthus (spiny chromis) is the source of this 148-nucleotide long non-coding RNA. RefSeq lists it as uncharacterized. The transcript has 2 exons. Lineage: Eukaryota; Metazoa; Chordata; Actinopteri; Pomacentridae. The record is from RefSeq and is a predicted model, not a curated record.